Molecule: transfer RNA, 73 nt
Rfam family: tRNA
About the family: Transfer RNA (tRNA) molecules are approximately 80 nucleotides in length. Their secondary structure includes four short double-helical elements and three loops (D, anti-codon, and T loops).
GAUCCAUUAGCUCAGCUGGGAGAGCGUCUGGGUGACAACCAGAAGGUCACUGGUUCAAGUCCAGUAUGGGUCA